Molecule: ribosomal RNA, 465 nt
Filed under: uncultured bacterium
Lineage: Bacteria
Description: bacterial SSU rRNA
Rfam family: Bacterial small subunit ribosomal RNA
Source: RNAcentral
GGAGAAAAGUAGGGGAUCGCAAGACCUUGCGCUCUUUGAGCGGCUGAUGUCUGAUUAGCUAGUUGGUGAGGUAAAGGCUUACCAAGGCGACGAUCAGUAGCUGGUCUGAGUGGACGACCAGCCACACUGGGACUGAGACACGGCCCAGACUCCUACGGGAGGCAGCAGUGGGGAAUUUUGGACAAUGGGGGAAACCCUGAUCCAGCCAUGCCGCGUGAGUGAAGAAGGCCUUCGGGUUGUAAAGCUCUUUCAGCCGGAACGAAACGGUCACGGCUAAUACCUGUGAUCACUGACGGUACCGGAAGAAGAAGCACCGGCUAACUACGUGCCAGCAGCCGCGGUAAUACGUAGGGUGCAAGCGUUAAUCGGAAUUACUGGGCGUAAAGCGUGCGCAGGCGGUUUUGUAAGUCAGAUGUGAAAUCCCCGGGCUUAACCUGGGAACUGCGUUUGAAACUACAAAGCUAG